AGCUGUUCAAUUCAUCUCCAUCUCCAUGCCAGAUGAUGACUUCAAAGGGACGGAGUCAAAUCCAUCUGACGUUCUCUGAAAAGACACCCAGUCACACAAACAUUUAUUAUGAUUUAAUACAGAGAUACCCAUAUACUGUAUGUUCCUCUCAGAACUGCAUUGUUUUGUUGUGAAAAUUUGUUUGCCUUAAUCUUUCUAUAUUAACAUUUUAACACAAUUUUAAAGUCACAUAGUAGAAAUCAUAGGUUCAUCCAUCCGUCCAUCCAUUUUCUGCCACUUAUCCAGGAUAGGGUAGCAGGGAUGCCCAGACCUCCAUCUCACCAGCCACCUACUCCAGCUCCUCGGGGGGAUACCAAGGCGUUCCCAGGCCAGCCCAGAGCUCAGCUCCCUCUUCGCCAUGAGAGGACGGGACCGAUCUGUCUGUCGAUCUCCCGCUCCCUUCAUCCCUCACUCGUAAACAAGACCCUGAGGUACUUAAACUCCUCCAUUUGGGGCAGUAACUCAUCCCCCACCCAGAGCGGGUAAUCCACUCUUUUCCAGUUGAGAACCAUGGCCUCAGACUUGGAGGUGCAGAUCCACUUGGAGGUGCUGAUUCUGGCCUCCUCACACUCAGCCGCAAAUCGCCCAGUACAUGCUGCAGGUCAUCAAAUGAUGAUGCCAAGAGGCAUGUCAGCCAAGACAGCCCAAAAACAUCAAGGGCCGUCAGGGACUCAGGACGAAUCUCAUCCACCCCCCCAAGUCCUACCACUGAAAUUUGUUUUGACUACUUCAGUGACCUCAACAGGUCCCCCUUCAAGCUGUACUUCCUCCAAGGAAGGCAUAUCAGUGGGAUUCAGGAGAUCCUCAAAGUUUUCUUUCCACCACCCGACUAUAUCCCCAGUUGAGGUCAACAGUUCUUCAUCCCUGCUGUAAACAGCCACUUUCCGCUUGAUCUACCUGAACCUGAAAACUGCUUUAGGAGUCCCACAAGCCAACCAAGCUCAGACUCAAUGUCCCCUGACUCCCUUGGGAGAGAAGGGAAGUUCUGCCAGAGGUGUGAGUUGAAGAUCUCUCAAGACAGGGGCCUUUGGCCAGAACCUCCCAGCACACCCUCACUAUAUGUUUGGUCUAUUAGGUCUAUCCAGCAUCUUCCCCCGCUAUUGGAUCCAACUCACCAUCAACUGGUGAUCAGUUGACAGCUCAGCUCCACCUGUCACCCGAGUAUCCAAAAUAGGCAGACGCAGAUCCGAUGAUACAAUUACAAAAUCGAUCAUUGAACUGUGGCCUAGGGUACUCUGGUGCCAAGUGCACUUAUGAACACCCUUAUGUUUGACCAUGGUAUUCGUUAAGGACAAACUGUGGUUAGCAUGGAAAUCAAAUAACUAAUCACCACUCGGAUUCUGAUCGGGCAGGUGAUUCCUCCCAAUCACACCCUUCUAGGUUUCACUGUUAUUACCCAUGUAAGCAUUAAAGUCCUCCACAGAGCAAUGGAUUCCCCAGAAGGAGCGCCAUUCAAGCACCCCCUUCAAGGUCUUCAAGAAGGCCGGAUACUCUGGACUGGUGUUUGGCGCAUACGUGCACACAACAAUCAGAACCCUUCCCCUGACUCGAAGUCGAAGGGAGCCAACCCUCUUGUCCAUCGGACUAAUACUCCAACACACUGGCACCGAACCAGGGGGCUAUAAGCAGACCCUCCCCCGCUCGGUGCCUCUCCCCAUGGGCAACACCAGAGUGGAACAGAGUCCAGCCCCUCUCUAGGAUUUUGGUUCCAGAACCCAAGCUGUGCGUUGAGAUGCGAACCCGGGGCAAACCCAGGAACACCUUGGUAUCCCCCUGGAAGAGAUAUAUUUUUGGAGGCAAUUGCCCCUGGAAGGGUCUCCCAUGACAUGUGAAACAAACAGAAACACUGUAUUUGUUAAGGCCAG
Long non-coding RNA from Paramormyrops kingsleyae, 1904 nucleotides. RefSeq lists it as uncharacterized. The record is from RefSeq and is a predicted model, not a curated record. NCBI's taxonomy places the organism in Eukaryota, Metazoa, Chordata, Actinopteri, Osteoglossiformes, Mormyridae.